Long non-coding RNA from Phragmites australis (common reed), 666 nucleotides. RefSeq lists it as uncharacterized. Lineage: Eukaryota; Viridiplantae; Streptophyta; Magnoliopsida; Poales; Poaceae. The transcript has 2 exons. The record is from RefSeq and is a predicted model, not a curated record.
UGUAAGUUGUUGCAGGUAUCUUACGACUGUGCCUACUUCAAUGUGAGCCAGAUGCCUCAAUAUAUGCAAUCUGAAGCUGCUGGUUACUCUACCCACAUUAGGCAACCCGAAUGAUGAAUCCCCAUCUAUGACAACGUUGGCCGUAUGAUUUCUUAGGGUGCAGUUCUUUCGAGGGUGAUUGUUGCUGGGAUUGUUAUGGCUACAUUGCCUACCUAAACAUAGUUUCAUCUUGCCAUCUGCGGUGAGUUUUUCUCUGUUAUUUUACUAUUCUUGCCUUUAUUUAGGCCUAACACGUGCUGAUUAUCAGCAUUUAUUCAUAUAUUUGGUUAUCUAAAAUCACAGGCUUUGCUGUUCUUAAAAGAAGUAUGGAGCUUAUAUUGAGAUGGCUGCAUGAAACAAUGUAUUGUCCAUAACUUGCUUCAAACCAAGUGGACGCAUGAAUGUUCGGUGUUACUUAUGGCUUUUUCUUAGUUAAGCACUAUGAAAUAUCUGUGUAGAAGGUACAUUUAUAAAGUUAUAUUCUCUACAUGGUUAAUCCUUCAUGGUGUAUCACUUCGUAUAUUUAGCACAACUAACCAGAAAGACUGUAUGGUUAUUUCUAGGCUUAUUACAAUUGUACAUCUGAAAAUGUAGAAAAGAAGCAAUUUUUUCAUUACAUUUGUUAUU